Molecule: long non-coding RNA, 590 nt
Organism: Homo sapiens (human)
Lineage: Eukaryota; Metazoa; Chordata; Mammalia; Primates; Hominidae
Source: Ensembl
GAAAGGAAGUUCCGGUCGACAAGCAAAGCAACAGGAAAAGGAUCUAUGAGCUUUCAUUAGAAGAUGCUACUAUGACAUUAGUGGACUAAUUCCACAAAUUUGACUAACUGCUGUAGAUUAGAGAAUAGUCUUGUAUAAACAAAAUUUUAGCUGAGCACAUGACUGCUGAGAAUAAAGACUGUAUUUCCUAGGCUCUAUUGCAGCAAAACAUGGUCUCCUAACUAUCUUCUAACAAGGGGAAAGUCAUGGAUGUGCCACAGGGCAAGUGCUGGGAAUCUUUCUUAAAGAGACAAUUAGCCCUGUGCCUCUUCUUCAUCCCAUCCUCCAUCCUGCUUCAGAGAGGAUGGAUUCUGACCUGGACCAUGAAGAAUGGGGCCACGCCUUAGGAACAGCUGGGCCAUGAACUUGGGGAAAAUUGAGCUUCUAAAGACACUGAGGAGCAGAACCCACACCAACUUGGGUCUGCAAACCUCCAAACUUUUACUUGAAAAGGAAAAAAAGGAUCUUGUGUAAGGCACUGUUAUUUGGUGCUUUCUGGAUGCUAUUGUCUUAACCUAUCCUCAUCAAUACAUCAAUCUUGUAAAAUAUAG